AUACUUACCUGGCAGGGGAGAUACCAUGAUCACGAAGGUGGUUUUCCCAGGGCAAGGCUCACCCAUUGCACUCUGGGUGUGCUGACCCCUACGAUUUCUCCAAGUGUGGGAAACUCGACUGCAUAAUUUGUGGUAGUGGGGGGACUGCGUUGGCACUCUCCCCUG
RNAcentral lists this small nuclear RNA (165 nucleotides) under Echinops telfairi (small Madagascar hedgehog). RNAcentral's name for it is "U1 spliceosomal RNA (ENSETEG00000021009.1)". It matches the Rfam family "U1 spliceosomal RNA". Rfam says of the family: U1 is a small nuclear RNA (snRNA) component of the spliceosome (involved in pre-mRNA splicing). Its 5' end forms complementary base pairs with the 5' splice junction, thus defining the 5' donor site of an intron. Lineage: Eukaryota; Metazoa; Chordata; Mammalia; Afrosoricida; Tenrecidae. The record is from RNAcentral.